RNAcentral lists this ribosomal RNA (468 nucleotides) under uncultured bacterium. Its description in RNAcentral is "partial 16S ribosomal RNA". It matches the Rfam family "Bacterial small subunit ribosomal RNA", at positions 28 to 507 of the family's 1533-position model. The record is from RNAcentral.
GACGAACGCUGGCGGCGUGCUUAACACAUGCAAGUCGAACGGAAAGGCCCUGCUUUUGUGGGGUGCUCGAGUGGCGAACGGGUGAGUAACACGUGAGUAACCUGCCCUUGACUUUGGGAUAACUUCAGGAAACUGGGGCUAAUACCGGAUAGGAGCUCCUGCUGCAUGGUGGGGGUUGGAAAGUUUCGGCGGUUGGGGAUGGACUCGCGGCUUGUCAGCUUGUUGGUGGGGUAGUGGCUUACCAAGGCUUUGACGGGUAGCCGGCCUGAGAGGGUGACCGGUCACAUUGGGACUGAGAUACGGCCCAGACUCCUACGGGAGGCAGCAGUGGGGAAUAUUGCAAAAUGGGCGGAAGCCUGAUGCAGCAACGCCGCGUGCGGGAUGACGGCCUUCGGGUUGUAAACCGCUUUCGCCUGUGACGAAGCGUGAGUGACGGUAAUGGGUAAAGAAGCACCGGCUAACUACGUG